UAGGNNAANNNUUCGGCAAUGGACGGAAGUCUGACCGAGCAACGCCGCGUGAGUGAAGAAGGUUUUCGGAUCGUAAAGCUCUGUUGUAAGAGAAGAACGAGUGUGAGAGUGGAAAGUUCACACUGUGACGGUAUCUUACCAGAAAGGGACGGCUAACUACGUGCCAGCAGCCGCGGUAAUACGUAGGUCCCGAGCGUUGUCCGGAUUUAUUGGGCGUAAAGCGAGCGCAGGCGGUUAGAUAAGUCUGAAGUUAAAGGCUGUGGCUUAACCAUAGUACGCUUUGGAAACUGUUUAACUUGAGUGCAAGAGGGGAGAGUGGAAUUCCAUGUGUAGCGGUGAAAUGCGUAGAUAUAUGGAGGAACACCGGUGGCGAAAGCGGCUCUCUGGCUUGUAACUGACGCUGAGGCUCGAAAGCGUGGGGAGCAAACAGGAUUAGAUACCCUGGUAGUCCACGCCGUAAACGAUGAGUGCUAGGUGUUAGACCCUUUCCGGGGUUUAGUGCCGCAGCUAACGCAUUAAGCACUCCGCCUGGGGAGUACGACCGCAAGGUUG
RNAcentral lists this ribosomal RNA (552 nucleotides) under uncultured bacterium. RNAcentral describes it as "bacterial SSU rRNA". It matches the Rfam family "Bacterial small subunit ribosomal RNA", at positions 353 to 896 of the family's 1533-position model. The record is from RNAcentral.